This 374-nucleotide ribosomal RNA is filed under the name uncultured organism. Its description in RNAcentral is "partial 16S ribosomal RNA". It matches the Rfam family "Bacterial small subunit ribosomal RNA", at positions 527 to 896 of the family's 1533-position model. The record is from RNAcentral.
GUAGGGGCCAAGCGUUAUCCGGAUUUAUUGGGCGUAAAGAGCUCGUAGGCGGCUUGGCAAGUCGGUCGUGAAAGUCCGAGGCUCAACCUCGGAAUGCCGGUCGAAACUGCCAUGGCUAGGGUUCGGUAGAGGAGAGUGGAAUUCUCGGUGUAGCGGUGAAAUGCGCAGAUAUCGAGAGGAACACCAGUAGCGAAGGCGGCUCUCUGGGCCGAUACCGACGCUGAGGAGCGAAAGCGUGGGGAGCAAACAGGAUUAGAUACCCUGGUAGUCCACGCCGUAAACGGUGAUCACUAGGUGUGGCGGGCUCAUUGACGUCUGCUGUGCCGGCGCUAACGCAUUAAGUGAUCCGCCUGGGGAGUACGGCCGCAAGGCUA